Molecule: ribosomal RNA, 482 nt
Filed under: uncultured bacterium
Lineage: Bacteria
Description: partial 16S ribosomal RNA
Rfam family: Bacterial small subunit ribosomal RNA
Source: RNAcentral
GGACGAACGUUGGCGGCGUGCUUAAUACAUGCAAGUCAACUGAAGCAGUGGUAGCAAUAUCGCUGUGGAGGUGGCGCACGGGUGAGUAACACGUAGGUAAUCUGCCUUCAGGUCUGGCAUAACUCCGGGAAACCGGGGCUAAUAGCAGAUGAUGCAGCGGCUCGACAUCGAGACAGUUGUUAAAGCUAUGGCGCCUGAAGAUGAGCCUGCGUCUGAUUAGCUAGUUGGCGGGGUAACGGCCCACCAAGGCAACGAUCAGUAGCUGGUCUGAGAGGAUGAUCAGCCACACUGGAACUGAGACACGGUCCAGACUCCUACGGGAGGCAGCAGUAAGGAAUAUUGCUCAAUGGGAGAAAUCCUGAAGCAGCAACGCCGCGUGAGGGACGAAGGGCUUUUGCUUGUAAACCUCUGUAGUGAGAGAAAAAAAUCCCAAUCUUUGGGACAUGAUGGUAUCUCAAAAGUAAGCCCCGGCUAACUACGUG